This is a small nuclear RNA of Heterocephalus glaber (naked mole-rat), 102 nucleotides long. The record is from Ensembl. Lineage: Eukaryota; Metazoa; Chordata; Mammalia; Rodentia; Bathyergidae.
GAGUUCUCACUUUGGUAGCUCAUUUACUAAAAUUAUAACAAUACCAAGAAGAUUACCAAGGCCCCUGCACAGUUGCAAAUUCGUGAAGCUGUCAAUAUUCAU